AGAAGAUCUUCCUCCUUUGGCGGAUGAAUACUCAUUACGUUAGAAAAGAGCUUAUGUAUAUCGUCGUCUACAGAACGUUUAGUUGCUCUUAAUCCCUCCGUUAGUCUUUUCAGAGAAAGAGGCAACUUCGCAAGGCGGCCCAAAUUGGGAAGAAUCAUGGUAAAUUUCUCUUUUUCUUUUGACCCUGUUUCAACUUUGUUUCGACCACAGAUCAAGACAAUAGGUCCUGAUAAUUGGUCAAACAUUUCUUGCACCUUGUGCACAAAUUCUUUUCUAUUUGCCUUGGAAACAGCUCUAG
Molecule: unclassified non-coding RNA, 298 nt
Filed under: Hevea brasiliensis (rubber tree)
Lineage: Eukaryota; Viridiplantae; Streptophyta; Magnoliopsida; Malpighiales; Euphorbiaceae
Source: RNAcentral